This 253-nucleotide ribosomal RNA is filed under the name uncultured bacterium. RNAcentral's name for it is "partial 16S ribosomal RNA". It matches the Rfam family "Bacterial small subunit ribosomal RNA", at positions 524 to 776 of the family's 1533-position model. The record is from RNAcentral.
UACGUAGGGUCCGAGCGUUGUCCGGAUUCAUUGGGCGUAAAGAGCGUGUAGGCGGCCAGGUAGGUCGGUUGUGAAAACUGGAGGCUCAACCUUCAGAGGUCGACCGAAACCAUCUGGCUAGAGUCCGGGAGAGGAGAGUGGAAUUCCUGGUGUAGCGGUGAAAUGCGCAGAUAUCAGGAAGAACACCCGUGGCGAAAGCGGCUCUCUGGAACGGUACUGACGCUGAGACGCGAAAGCGUGGGGAGCGAACAGG